Haliotis rubra (blacklip abalone) is the source of this 112-nucleotide long non-coding RNA. RefSeq lists it as uncharacterized. Lineage: Eukaryota; Metazoa; Mollusca; Gastropoda; Lepetellida; Haliotidae. The record is from RefSeq and is a predicted model, not a curated record. The transcript is spliced from 3 exons.
AAAUGUCAGGCCAACUACUUUGCUCCAUGUCUAUUUAGGGUUAUUUUAAUAAUUUUUCAAAUACCUUUUAUUUUAUGCAAUUUUAUUUUAUGCACCGAUACUUUUUUCCGUC